GAUGAACGCUGGCUACAGGCUUAACACAUGCAAGUCGAGGGGAAACGACGGGGAAGCUUGCUUCCCCGGGCGUCGACCGGCGCACGGGUGAGUAACGCGUAUCCAACCUGCCUCUGACUGAGGGAUAACCCGUCGAAAGUCGGCCUAAUACCUCAUGGUAUCGUCUGCGGGCAUCCAACGACGAUUAAAGAUUUCAUCGGUCAGGGAUGGGGAUGCGUCUGAUUAGCUUGUUGGCGGGGUAACGGCCCACCAAGGCUACGAUCAGUAGGGGUUCUGAGAGGAAGGUCCCCCACAUUGGAACUGAGACACGGUCCAAACUCCUGCGGGAGGCAGCGGUGAGGAAUAUUGGUCAAUGGGCGAGAGCCUGAACCAGCCAAGUAGCGUGCAGGAAGACGGCCCUAUGGGUUGUAAACUGCUUUUAUGCGGGGAUAAAGUGAGGGACGUGUCCCUCAUUGCAGGUACCGCA
Molecule: ribosomal RNA, 466 nt
Filed under: Segatella oris
Lineage: Bacteria; Pseudomonadati; Bacteroidota; Bacteroidia; Bacteroidales; Prevotellaceae
Description: bacterial SSU rRNA
Rfam family: Bacterial small subunit ribosomal RNA
Source: RNAcentral